UGAGUAACCUGCCCCUAACUCUGGGAUAAGCCUGGGAAACUGGGUCUAAUACCGGAUAUGACUCCUCAUCGCAUGGUGGGGGGUGGAAAGCUUUUUGUGGUUUUGGAUGGACUCGCGGCCUAUCAGCUUGUUGGUGAGGUAAUGGCUUACCAAGGCGACGACGGGUAGCCGGCCUGAGAGGGUGACCGGCCACAUUGGAACUGAGACACGGUCCAGACUCCUACGGGAGCAG
RNAcentral lists this ribosomal RNA (232 nucleotides) under uncultured bacterium. Its description in RNAcentral is "partial 16S ribosomal RNA". It matches the Rfam family "Bacterial small subunit ribosomal RNA", at positions 118 to 347 of the family's 1533-position model. The record is from RNAcentral.